RNAcentral lists this non-coding RNA (5885 nucleotides) under Pan troglodytes (chimpanzee). The record is from RNAcentral. Lineage: Eukaryota; Metazoa; Chordata; Mammalia; Primates; Hominidae.
GGAACCUGGGAUUCAAAUGGCCUGGCAGGAAGUGCUCUAGCAGAGGGACUCUGGCCUUGCGAGAGUCCCUAUUUCCCUCUUUUUUUUUUGCUUUUCACACAGUAAAACCCUGCUUUACUUCCCUUUAAGUCGUCUGUGAGCCUAAAUUUUUGUGGCUGUGGGAAAGACAAGAACCCCAUCUUUAGCUGAAAUAAGGAAAAGUUCCGCAACAUUUUUGGCACACACCCUGGGGGCUCCGGAAGUGGAUUAUGUUGGCUCGGAGAAUGAUAUCUCAAAGGCUGGUGCUGAGAGUUCUUAGAAGCUGCUUCAGAAUCAAGGAUCUCUCCAGAGAUCAACCACUGGAGAAAAGAGACUAGGAGUCAUCACCAUAUCUAGACAGAGUGCUGCUCCAAGAGAUUAACUGAGGGACUUCAUCUGCAUAAUAAGACAACCUUUUUUCCGGGCGCAAUGGCUCACGCCUGUAAUCCUAGCACUUUCGGAGGCCCAGUUAUCUUCUCCUCAUAGUCCUCCACUAAAGCCUGAACGACAAGGAAUGCUGUCGGAACUGGACCUUGCUGAAGGAAAUACUUUCUGACUCAUUGGAAUUUGUUAUAGUCAAAAACCCUCAACCCUGCAUCCUACCAUCCUGGGCCUGCACUGCAAGUUACAUGAUCCCUGAGCUGACCACUUUGGCUUGGAUCCCUGGAAGGAGAAAGGAGAGAGAGCAACUAGUUCAGACACAAGCAUCUAGUUCAGCUUUGUUUGCCUAUGUGAUAACUUAGGUCUUCACGACGGCCCAGAGUAAGACGACGCAUGAGGACCCUUCUUGUCAUUUAAUUAUUGCUUGACCAGAACUGUGCCUUGUAAGAAAUGCUUGCUGUUUGGAAACUUGUGAAGACCUGCAUCCCUUUGUAUCUCAAAUAAAGACAGAGGUGUUUCCAGACCUAAGAAUAACGGGAACAUGGAGGAGUGGCAUCUCCAGUGUAGCCACCCACCAAAGCCUCAUCCUGAACACUAUGGCCUAGUGGGUCACUUACAGGGAUGUAGCUGGCAUUGAUGUAGUCAGAGCAAGGAUCAUCAUCUACAUUGGAGAGCUUCACUCGCGUGGCAUCAUCUGGAAGGAGAGAUUUGCUGCUGAGUCUUGGAGUGACUUUUCUACAGUUUAUGUGAUGUGUGUGAUGUGCCUUAGCUCUGAUCCCCACAACAGCCACAGAUGGGAAGUGAUCUUAUCUCCAUUUUGCAGGUGAGGCUCAGGCAGGAUAACUAACUUGCCCCACAUUGCAUAGGUGGCCUAUAACCAGUCAGACACAGGAGACAACAUGAAGCCCCAUCUGUGCUUCCCUUUCUAACAUUACCACAUUUGCCUGAUGGAGUGGCCAGCUCCCUUUCACUGCUGGAAUGAAUACAAUCCAGAAAACCUACCUUCUAUUGCUUUACCUAAUGGGGUAAGGAAAUUUAAGUAGAAAUUGCUAACCGAAGACUUUGCUAAGCAAACCCAGGUCUGCUUGAUGUCAGAGCCCUUGCUGUUAACCCCAUUUACUGCUUAGCCUCCAAAGAGAAGCAGUAGCAUCACAAGGGGAAAUGUCAACAGCAUAAGAGGACUUUCAUAAUCAGAAUUUAAACUGGCUAUUAUCCCUCUGGAGGGAAGUGCAGGAAUAUACAAGCUGUUUCUUAUUAAAGGCAUUCAGAGCUUGAGAUUGUCCAUAUCAAGCUAUAUUAUGUUUCUUUAGCCUCAUUUCAGUGUUGGAGAAAAAUGCAGAAAUGGCUAGAGGAAGACAGUAUUACAAAUUUUGACACAAAACUUACAGGGCAAUAUAUUGUUGUAUCGAUUUUUCCCUCUAUUCUCCGGCAAGAGUGCAAUGUCACAUGACUGGUUUCGGCCCACGUCUUUUAACUCCUGUUAGGUCAAAUAUGAGUUUGUAAGUGGAGAAUAUGAAAUAGAAUAAAGCAAAUCAUACAGUCCUGGAGAUACAUAAUAACAUGAAAAUAUAUACACUAGCUAUUGUUUAUGAAUGCCUAGUACUCAACAUGCAUUAGCCCUGAUCCCCACAACAGCCCCACAAGGGAGGUGUUGUUCUCACUAUUUUACAGGUGAGGCUCAGACAGGAUAACUGAUGUGCCCCAGGUCACCCAAGUGGCAAACCUGAGAAUCAAUUCCAAAAGCUACGUGCUUUUUGCGAAACCACGGCAUCUUCCAGCCAAGCAAAUGGCCAGGCUGAAUAUCUGACAGCAUUAGGUCUGCAUUUGAGAUUUGUUAAUUCUUCCUUACUAUCUGAUCCAGGUAGCCCUUGGUUUGCUGUGUUAUUCUGGAGCUCAAGCUGGCCUCUAAGAUUAGAUGGUAUAUUCUAUUCAGGGCAUAGUUUAGGCAUAUAAGAGUGCUCAGCUGAGAUUCUAAGCAGCCUCCUAACUUCUGAGCUCAAUCAGCCUAUGAUGACACAGUAAACAUUAGGAAGGAAAUUCUGCUAAGAACUAGGGAUGCUGAAGCUUCAUUCUGCCUGAGUUGUACCUCGUAUUCCUUGGAUAGAAGGUAGUUGGAGUCAGCCUGUAGCUUCAUGAAAUGCCCUUCAAACUGAUUUAUUUUUAUUGGACUGUAAUUAAAAAUGAAACAAAAAAAAGAGUUACUGCAGAAAAGGGAAAGUGCCAUAACUAUUCUGACUCAUAUUUCAAAGGCAGAUAAUAUAGUAAUUAAUGUGUUCUCUCUCUUACCAAGAAGUUUUCCGGUUACUGUGAAGAGAAGCCAAAAGAGGAAGACUUUGUUAGCAAAUUUCACAUAAUACCAUCUUUCAACAAAUUAUACGAAGGCAAAUGUGAUGCUUACCCUUUCUGGCCCAGGUUUAAGUGGACAGAUAAUGGUCGAUCCCUACGAAUGCUCAGACGGGCAGAGGGUCUUUCUCGACCAUGGCUGAAACAUAAGGGAGAUAACUUUUAUUCUGAUUAUGAUACUUGGCUUGAACAAAUUUUUCCAUUUAUGGUAAGGCUGUGGAUGUUUGUGCAAAUAUGGAUUUUUCAGUAUUCAUAUAGAUUUGCACUCAGCCAACAUCUCUGAGGGAGGGAAAGGAAAGAGAAUAAAGUAGAUCAUUCCCACCCAGAAACGGAUCUCUGCAAAAACUGAAGAUUUGUCUCCUGGUUUUUGGCUACAGGUUAUAAUCACUUCCCACAUUCUCAAUAAAACUUUGCUUAAAAAAAAAAUCCAGUAAAUUUCAGAUGCCAGACACGACUUCAAUAAAGAGGAACAUGUGCCAAAUUAAGAAAAAAAUUCACUAAGAGAAGAAGGCACGACACUUGGGGCCACAUGCUAUUUGGUUCUUUUUGGUCCCUUCUUAAAUUAGGAUGGCAGAUAUGAACUACAAAAUGGUGAUGUCAACCACACUUUUCAGGAUAUUUCAGAAAAGCAGUUGGGCAUGCAAUUUGCAAACAUCUCUGUCUUCAUGAGGAUAUGAACCACACACACACAAAAAUAUUUCUUUCCUGUGCAAAAGGAGUCACUUCAUCUUUAAAUAAAGCUAUAGAUGGCCCCUCAGUCCUUUGGUAAGGGCUGAAUUCAUCAAUGGGAUAUAAAAGAGCUGAGAAAAGUGAGUCAUGGCUUUAGAGUUUGACUUGUUUUUAUUGAGAAAACAGUGAUAAUUUAACCUGGAAAAAUUAAAUUAUUUUCCCUAAUUAGUUUUCAGCCUAAAGGGAAUUUUCAGUUGCAUUUUUAAAGUUGUGGGUCCAAUCACCAAAAGGAUCUUUGUACUUACCUCACUUUCUGUCUGCAGAUCAAUAAGGCAACAACAGCCACUAGCAUGCCAAUUAAAAACAGACCAGCACUCACACCUUCAAUAGCUCCAAACAAGGGCUCUACAAUAAUCCAGAUAGAAACAACAAAUGCAGGUGGGAAAAUUAGUGCUAGGGAACCAGUAAGAAAGCUAUUGAAGCCAUAUCUCCCAAGUAAUGUUAUUACAAAUAGAAUUCAAGUGAUGCCCACGAUGAGGCAUUUACUUUCCAAAGGCUCUGAGUAUGCACCUAAGAAGAGGAAAGGCUGGCUCCCACCCUGUAGCAGUGAGGCCAGGUGUCACUGUAUACUUUUGAAGUUAAUGGUGCAUAGCUUAUAGAGGAAUUUUGGACUUUGCACUUGUAUAUAAAGCUUGGGGCACCUAAGAUAAAGGCCAUAAGUUUGCCACCAAGAUAAUGCAAUUUCAUUUAUAUAAAACAUGUUACACAGCAUCUGGGGCUUUGGAAAAUCCAGUGGAUUGCUUGGAGCUAUUUUAAGAAGUCUUAUUUUUAUUAUCUGGUAUGGUAACGCUACUGGGAGUUUAUGAAGAGGUAAGAGUGGCCUCAUUUUUAAAAUAGCUUUAUUGAAAUAUCAUUCAUAUAGCAUGCAACUCACCCAUGUAAAUUGUAGAAUUCAGUGGUCUUUAGUAUAGUCAAAGUUUUGCAAAUGUCACCACAAUCAAUUUUAAAACAUUUUCAUCACCCUCAAAAGAAACCGCAUACCUAUUAGCAGUCAGUCCCAUUCCUCCCUCCCUGCGAUCCCUGGCAACCACUAAUCUACUUUCUGUGUCUGUGGAUUUGCCUAUUCUGGAUGUUUCAUAGAAAUGAAAUCAUAAAUCUGUGAUCUUUUGUGACUGGCUCCUUUCAUUUAGCAUAACGUUUUCAAGGUUCAUCCAUGUUAUAGCAUAUACCAAGAUUUCAUUCCUUUUUAUGGUUGAAUAAUCGUCCAUUGUAUGGAUAUAUCACAUUUUGUUUAUCCAUUGAUGGACAUUUAAAUUGCUUCUACUUUUUGGCGAUUAUGAAUAAUGCUGCUAUGAACAUUCAUGUACAAGUUUCUAUGUGGACAUAUGUUUUCAUUUCUCCUGGGUAUAUACUGAGGAGUGAAAUUGCUGGGUCGUAUGGUAACUCUAGGUUUAAUAUUUCUAUAAACUGUUUUUCAAAGCAGUGACACCAUUUUACAUUCUCAUAAGCAGUGUAUGGAAGGUUCUGAUUUCUUCAUAUCCUCACUAACUCUUGUUACUGUCUUUUUGAUUAUAGCCAUGCUACUGGGUGUGAAGUGGUAUCUUCUUGUGAUUUUGAUUUGCAUUUCCCUAAUGACUCAUGAUGUUGAGCAUCUUUUCAUGUGCUUAUUAGUCAACUGUAUAUCUUCUUUGGAGACAUGUCUAUUCAGAGCCUUUGCCCAUUUAAAUAUCGUGUAAUUUGGCUGGGCACGUUGGCUCAUACCUGUAAUCCCAGCAUUUUGGGAGGCUGAGGCAGGCAGAUCACGAAGCCAGGAGUUCGAGACCAGCCUGGCCAACAUGGUGAAACCUUGUCUCUACUAAAAAUACAAAAUUUAGCCGGGUGUGGUGGCGCAUGCCUGUAGUCCCAGCUACUGGGGAGGCUGAGGCAGGAGAAUUGCUUGAACCUGGGAGGUGGAGGUUGCAUUGAGCCAAGGUGGCAUCACCGCACUACAGCCUGGGUGACAGAGCAAGACUCCGUCUUGAAAAAAAUAUAUAUAUAUAUAUGGCCUGGCGUGGUGGCUUACGCCUGUAAUCCCAGCACUUUGGGAGGCCGAGACAGGUGGAUCACGAGGUCAGGAGAUCGAGAACAUCCUGGCCAACACGUGAAACCCUGUCUCUACUAAAAAUACAAAAAAUUAGCCGGGUGUGGUGGCGGGGGCCUGUAGUCCCUGCUACUUAGGAGGCUGAGGCAGGAGAAUGGCGUGAACCUGGGAGGCGGAGCUUGCAGCGAGCCGAGAUCGCACCACUGCACUCCAGCCUGGGCAACACAGCGAGACUGUCUCAAAAAAAAGAAAAAAAAAGGAAAAAAUAUAUAUAUAUUACACUAUAUAUAUAGUGUAAUUUGUGUUUUUAUUAUUAAAUUGUGAGGUAAGAGUUCUUUAUAUGCUAUUCAGCCCUUACCAGAUAUGUGAUUUGGAAAAUAAAUAUUUUCUCCCU